GCAGGAAGCCUACGAAACUAGCCGAGAAACCCCACAAAAAUAGUCCGAGUGGUCGCUGCGGCCUUGGUUAAUUUCAUCUGGUUUUACCCUCAAACCGGUUCUUUUGGGGUGGGAAGCCGGGUGUGUUUUAAGGGAUCUUUCCGGAGGACUCAGAAUCACACUGGUGAGGCUUCGAGCUUCAAAAGGUGCUGGGCAAAACAGUUGUCCUAAUGGCUUUCAGAUCGCCUGAAAAAAUGUCCAGGUGUCUCAAGCCAGGACUGCCCUCUCCCAACGGCGAGGAGGAAGUAAGCUGGCGGUCCCUUGUCGCUCGGGCUCUGCCUGCGCGUCCCCGCACCCAAAGCCAGGCCUCUGGGGACGGAGCCUACGAUUUAGGGCUACCGCGUUCACAGAGCAGAGUGGCCAGAGGUGAGGAUCUCAGGUCACGCUUCCGAGCUCUGCUGGGGUGCAGCUCCCUCCUCCACACCCGGGAUCGAGGAUCCCGAGGGGCAGCGGAGCCGCCGAGCCUCGGUCGGGUCGCUCUCUGAUCGACGCAGCGGAAAGUCAGGCGCAGAGUCCGGUGACCCCCGAAACAGAGUGGAGCCUCUGGCCUUGGGAGCUCGGAAACUGCCUAAAACAGCUCAGGUCAAGCUGGGGUCGGAGGGGGUCUUCCCUCAGUAGCCCCAGUUCCAUGCUCGGGUCUCUUCUAUUCUAGGCCACAGUUCCCGCACACAAACUUUUCCCGACUCAUCCAGUCCUUUCCGAACCCUGCCUUCGUCGCCGGCUCGCUCCAGGGGUCUGGCGGACUAACACCGGGGACCCGAGAAAGUGUCCAAUGACCCUUUCCAGGACGGGUCCGGAAGGAUGAGACUCCAUAAUACGUGGGGAGCACACAUCCAAGUCCGACUUUGACGGGUUAUGGUUGCAAGUGUGGAGAGAAACGACAGGAGGACAAACUUGGGAAGCCGGACCAAGCGACACUUCCCUGUCCCUAAGUCAGUCUCCAGAGAGACCGGCAGCACUCGGCCGCGACCCCGGGACGUCGCUCCUCCACCCCAAUUCCCUGUUCUCACGGCUCGGAACCCCCAAAGAUCUUGGUGCAGCAGCUUCGAACCCAAGGCCUUGGAGAGUGAAGUGUGAGCUCUGCCCAGCAGCUGACUGCUGGCGAAGUGGUGAAGGGCACAGAUGGCGAGGGGAGAGGUACUGUCGCCCAGCCGCAACGACGUGCUCUAGACCUGUGCCCCUGCAGCGGGAAGACAGGGUGUCCAGGUUCGAGAAGGAAAUUCAGUCGCGCGCAGCGGAGGCAGCGUUCCACCAGAGCAGUGGAUUCCUUACUCCCUGUGCGCGGCAAACUUCAUCUUCCUCUUCUGGCAGAGCUAUUCCCACACCAAAGAACGGAAUGGACCGAGGACCGCAAAUGCUCCUCUAGGUUGCGCUUAAAGUUCUCUGCACUCCGCAAGCAACAGUGCCUCGCUAAGGGGUGUCUGGGUAUAAAAUUUCUCCCAGAGGAAAUGUCCCGAGGUAGAGAAAGUGGAAAAGACUAAUCGAAUUUAUAAAAAGAAAACCUUUGCUUCCUUUUGGUUAAAUCCUUUUGCGGUUUUCUGAGCGAGAGAAAAAAAAUUAGCACCAAGCAAUAGCGUGUGGCUAAUUCUUGGAAUGAGUAACUAGGAUAUUUAGAAAGCCCAGCAGGGUGCACAGAUUUUCCUGAAGCGCAAGAACUAGGUCCCGAGGAUCCAGCAAAGAGUGAUUGGUUCUCAUUAAAUGCCUUCAGUUGAGAUUGAGAGUAAGGUCGCUAGCCCACCCCUCCCCCCAUCCCUACUCUGGUGUGGGGGUGUGAGUAUUUGCGGGUGACCGGGAACCUACAAGGAACAUGAAUGGCGAUCCUCUCCGACAUCGGGGAACCCAGAUGUGGACGAAGCAAACCUGUCACAACAACACAACAACAACAAAAAAUUUUUUUCCAGUUACACAGUCCCUUUUUUUGUUUUCACCAGAAAAAAAAAAAUCCCACUUCUAAACAACAGGUUAACCUUUUUCAGAAGAUGUUGACUUUUUUAAAAAGUCUGUGUGCUUUGAAACCUUGUCCAGUGAGUGGCUUUUUCCACUCAUUUUCAUGGGGUCGAAGAACCUUUUGGUUUCAUUUCGAUAGAAAAACAGAAAUGGCCAGGUCUGGUUUCAGGACUUGUCCUGUCAGCUAGGCCUGCUUGUCACUCACAUGCAAGUCCCUCAUAAGUCAGCUGAGCCCUGGCUGGGAGUGAGUGUUCCAAAGGGUUCUUCCCUACUUUUAAGGGAAGGUUUUUCUCCUAAGUUGGGGGGAAAUUGUCUUGUCUCUGGACAGGGGUUUUACCCCUCUUCAGGCUCCAUCAGUCGGACAGCCUUUCUCCUGGUGUAAAUGGUGUAAAACCUACACCAUUAAUUAUUGCCUUGCAACAUCUCUCUCCAACAUCUCUCUCUCUCAGCAGCAAUACGAUCUCCCUCAACUUGACAUCCAGUUUAAUGUGCAGCUGGGCAUGUGAGACACAUUUCCCAACUCCAACUCUGUAUCUCCUUGCUUCCUCUCGGUGGAAUUCUCCAGGCACCCAAACUCCCAAGGCAGUAUGAAGAAGGAGCUCUUGCUUUUUCUCCCCACUCACACUAAGGAGCUCUUGCUUUCUCUCCCCCCACCCACCUCACACUUACAAAUCACCAUUCUGACCUCUGUCUUGCAUUUAUUUUCCUAAUUUUCCCUAGUCUCUUUGGCCUAUUUUGUACUAAAAUACAAUCCCAGGAAGAUCGCCCACAUUUAACCUCUAGAUUCUGUAGGGAUUUCUGUAGAUCCUAGCACCAGGCUUCCAGGGAAUGAUUUCCUCCGCCAACUGUGGGAUUCCAAGGGGACUGAAUGAAUUCUGUGUUCCCCAGGUUUGUUUUCAUUUUUUUUUCCUUUCCACCUUGGGCCUCGAAAUACCUUCAGUCAGUCAGAGCAUGCUGAAGAAAUCAGCCGGUGAUUUCAGCUCCCCUCCCAAUCUUUCUUUGGCUCCUCUGGGAUAUUUGCAGGGCGGCCUGAUUGCAUGUGUGCUGUGAGUGGGGUUGAGAGUGUGGAGUCAGAGCUGGGUGUCCAGGUUUUGCAUUUUGGUUGUACCAUGUUUAACAGUGGCCAGGGGACACGGCCCUGGGCUUAGUUUGUGUUCUGUAUUGGCUAACCCCGUUUAAAUUAAUAUCACGACCCCCUGUUUCCUGCUUUGUUGAGCAUAUAGUAAAGAAGCAGUGCAAUGCUGGGCAGUGUCUAGCAAAGAGCCAGGUUUGCCUCCUAUAAGUAAACCUGCCUCUGUGAAUUCCUUCACUUCCUAAAUGGAGAUAAUAUUAGUCCUUAUUCCAUAGGGGUCUGGGGGAGCUAAAGGAGUUAAUACGUAUGAAGAUUUUAGGAUGGCGGCUGGCGUGGUAAUUACAGUGCAAGCGCCAGCUAUUGUUGUCACUGAGCUCACAGGUUUGCUGUGGGGAUCAAAUAAUAGAGUGUGGUCAAAAUAUUCCCACUCCACCUAUCUAUCCAUUCAUCCAUUCAUUCACUCCAUGGAGAAAAGUGUUGGGUGGGCAUGGGGGAUGCCACUGGGAAAGACUUGCAUUCAUCUCCUCACUUGCAGGAAGGGCCAGGGCAGGCCUGGAAGGUUUGUGAGCACUGCAGACAGGAGUGGCUAUCUGCUUACAUGCCUAGCUGUAUUUUCUGGUUCUCUUCAUUUGCUUUUGUUGCAUGGAAUCCCCUGGGUCGUGUACGGAGGACAGCAGAACAGAGCAGUAAGACGUGCCUUGCUUCCUUUGACCCUAGACGGCAUUAACCAGUUAGAGUAUCCCAGGCCUUGCUCUUCUGGCUUUUUUUUUUUUUUAUUUUUUCUUUCCAUCACUUUCUGUUUUGUGAAGUCAUGAAGAUUCACCUUGGCCAGUCCAGUAGGACAUUCUUCCGGUCACCUGCCUGGCUCUCGGAGGAGAUAACUUUUGGUUUAGACUCAGACUCUCCAAUGGCCGCUGCUCCUUCUGUUAUUAGGAUUACAGCCAUGUUGUAUAGCUCAAUGUAAUCGAACCCUUACAGGCAGAAGGCAAAGUGCCCUUGUGAACUCCCUCCCUGCGCAGUGAGAUUAAAAUGCUUUUUACGGCUGGAGUCUGGAAAAGGAAUCCAGAGUGUGCAGCCAUACCUUCGAGCAUUGAGUCCUUCGAGCAUCGAGUUGCUGGCAUAGCAGGUGUGCAAGCUUCUUGUACUUUGAGCUUCCAGGCAAGCUAGUGCCCUUUAAGAAGCUCCCAGAUGUCAGCAAGUGGAGGCUGAGGCUUACCCCACCCCUUUGUGAUAAAGAAACAGAUAACAUUUAAUCUGUCAUCUGAUGUCCUUCUACUCAAAAAUGGUCUCCUGAGGGCCAGGGAACCUUUUAUUUAGGGGCUUGGAAGUAUGUGACUUAUAUGUGAGUUUCCUUCAGGUUCCUGUGGCCACAGUUGGGGAAGUGAACAUGAUCUAGCCCUGUUCAUGAUUUGUGGGAACAUCAGAGUGGUCAGAGGCUUCCUGGUCUCUGUGGCUCCGUCCAGAUGGACUGCUGACCGAACUGGGAAAAACCUCUGGUGUUGGUGGGUGGCCCUCUAAAUAUCUUUAUUACUUUGGGGGAGGGUGGGGAUUUUCUGAAGCCAAGGGUUUUUGUAAGUUAAGAAAACACAAUUAAGUCACCGGUGUCCCUUCACCCGUUUAUCCAUUCAUUCACCCUUCACUCGCAAACCCAUGGGAGCAACUGAAGCAGCAGACUGAACAUGCCAGUGGUGGUUUAAAUAUGUAAGAUGUAAUGGUGACCAGGACAGAAAGAUAUUAAGCUCAGGAAAAACAAGAUCCAUAAUUAAAAGGGGACAUGGUAUACAAUCUCAUUUAUAUAAGAUUCUAGAAAAUUCAAACCGAACCAUGUACCAGAAAGUAAACGGCAGAUAGAGUGAUUACAUCAUAAAUUGUCGAAGGGUCGGGGUGUGUGUGUGUGUGUGUGUGUGUGUGUGUGUGUGUGUGUGUUAAAGGGAAUGAGGAAACUUUGGGGACUGUGAGAAAUGCUUGUGGACAGGUAGCGAUCGCAGCAGGGACCUGCCCAUUUCAGAACUGACGCUACUGUUCACGUUAAGUGUCUGCUUGGCAGUACACGUUAAUUGGGUUAAUAGGACGGAAAGUGUAAGUCCUGUGAGAUAUCUCAGAUAAACCAGCUGAAGGCCUGCCAUCACCUUGGCAGACUGAGUUCAAGCCUGGGAACCCACAGAAAGGUGAGAGGAGAGACCCAGCUCUAAGCUGUCCACACCACACACCGCUUUCCCCUGUGUGCCUCUCACAGUCCACUGGCAUCCAUGAUGUAUACUAGGUUCUGAUGAGAGUUGUGCUCAUACACACAGAUACCAGUAAAAAUGAAAUUUUCAUUCAACAAUUCUAGAAAAUGGCAAUUGUACAUCACGGACUUAAAGGGGAGGGAGGAUCUAUUUAUUGCAAGUGCCAUGUUUAAGCACUUGAAACCAUUAAAGGUUGUCUGGGGUUUGGUGACAUUUGGCUUGGGGACAGCACAGGCAGGAUGGAAGUGAGACUGGCUUGGCACCAAGCUGUGUGUCCUGGUUCUGGAGGGAGCAUAAAUUUUUGCUCAGUUACAGUUUUCUGGGGGAGUAGUGGUGCUUCCCACUCCUCGACCUGGAAGCAAAGGACUCCCGAAUGUCAGCAGGCUCAUCCAGACUGACAAGCAAACUUCCCACUGCAGAGAGAGGAGGACAUGCCUUCCCAAGGCAGGUGGAUGCAGAGGGAGCUCAAGUCCGUGGCUAGACAUACUCAAGAGUCCCAGCCUGGCAUGUGGUUCAUUGGUCACAUGGCAGGCAGUGGCCAGUUGUGGUGAAAGGUCAUCUUUGGUGGAAGGCCAGUUUUUUUUCCUCCCACAACCUUCCAUGGACUGAUAUGUAUGCAAACACAAUAAAGCAUGUCACCAUAAGAGAAUAGUCACACAGAACAUAAUCUCAAAAUAUCUUAUCCACCUAUUGUUUACGCAUUAUCUGCCUCUCAUCAGAACCCAGUGCAUUAUGGACUCUGACGGACUUUGAGAAGUUCCUGCGGGGCAGAGUAAAGGGGACACAGUGGGGUUUUCCCAUGCAUAGACCCUUGCUUCUAUGAGGAAGCAAACCCUGGACCCUUUCAUUCUGAUUCUUAGCUACAGCCACAGAAUCCGACUUUUUUUUCAUUGAUUCAUUGUGAAUCUUACAACACCCCAAAUCCACUUAUUUCCCAGUCCCUCUAUAUCUGCCUUCCACCCCUGUUAAACCCCCCCCCCACCGCCCCAAAGAAAAUAAUUAAAUUAAAAACCCAAAACAUCUCAUUGUGGAAGCUGUAGUGUGUCACAGUGUGUCCCACAGUGUUCCCCUUCGUUUACACAUCUUUUCAUGACAAUCAUUGGUCUGGUUAGAGCCCUCUAGUUUCUGCUAUAAUGUAUACUCAAUUAGCAGUAUUCAAAUCGAUCCCGUAGCGGCGGCACUCCUCACUACCCGUCCCAGUGUCCUGGGUUCUCAAAUAAAACACACACACACACACACACACACACACACACACACACACACACACACACACACACAGCCUUUAUUUUAAUAUGUCUUAAACAGCUCAACAGCUGGGCCACUUCCUAACCUCCACGUGACUAAUCCACCCUCCGAUAUCUCUAAGUUAUUACUUACUAAAAUCUGUAUUCUAUCUUGGCUGCCCUAUACCCAGGUCAUCAGCCUUCUUGGACUCCUACACGACGGUUAUGUUCUCUGUCCUGAGCUUCUCAGGUGUGGCAUCUUGGUUCUCCUCCUUCCAGCAUGGCGGACCUCUGUCUUCUUUCUCUCCCUGUCCCCAGACCGGAAACGUAAAAGUCCCGCCUCUGUCUACCCCGCUCACACAUUGGUUGCCGCCAUCUUUCUUUACCAAUCAGAACCCACUAUGGGCAAGGUCCUUGAUCUCUUAAAUGCGGGACAUUGCAAACAGGUUUUUGGGGGAAUGUAAAUAACAUAAUAGAAACAAUAUUAAACCAAGCCCACAACACUGUGCCAGCAAUAGUGGACCCGCAGAAACUCCUCUUAGAUAUUCUGCUAUUGCCCUGUGUUACGAAAAUCCUGCGGCUUUUGUUCCUCAGGACUGAUGAAUUCUAGCAGCUCAUAGGUCAGGUAGAUGUUGGAGUGGUCCAACCCAAAGCCAUUGGUGUGCGCCUGGAUGGUAGCUGACUUGUCAGCCCGCGUCUAAGGUGCAUGGAGUAGGCAGUUCCCUGAGCUAGAUGAACCGGAAGGAAGUUGGACAUCUGUGUGGGCUCUUUCAGCUCCCUGUCCCAUCCGAGCAUUUCAGAGCCUAGUUGAGAGCUUCCUCAGAAUGCAUGCUUUCUGUCAAACGGGGCCAUUACCCCUGCCCUUGAAAGGGUAAGUCUGCCAUGUUCUUCAGUUCUGCCAGCUGGGUUUAAGGAGUCUCAAAGCCCUUAAAAUAUUCUCGGAGUGUCCUCAGGACAAAGGGAAUGAGAAGGUUGCUACCUUUCAUUGCUCGCCUCCCGCGAUCACAGUGGAUGUGAUCAGGUGAGCUCAUUGGAGCCUCAGAGCUCUUUGAAGUAUUGGUGCAGUUCUUCGGUCAAAUGGGGGAAUGGAGUUGUGUGGCUCUUUCUUUGGGGUCUCUUAGCUGUGGAACUGCUUGUCGCCAACAAUUAUGUGUCACAUUUAUCCGAAAAUAGAUCAGUCAUGGUGGUCCAUGCGCUGCACACUACAGGCUGAAGUAGGGGACGGAGGACAAUGCAGACCAACCUGGGCUGUGUCAUGAUAUCCUGCCUUAACACCUACAGCUCGCCCAACGAAAGAAUAGCGACCUUAAAUCUAAAUGAAGCUGGUUGGCUGCCCCCCACCCCCAAAUAUUAGAGCCCGAAUGAUUUGGGGGUGGGACUCAUAGCAGAGAGGUGUGAUCUGGAGGUUUUGUCUUUUUGUUUGUUUGUUUGUUCCUUGUUGGACCAUCUAAUGGAGGGUACAGAUUUGCUAGGCUCAGGACUGUGGCGGCUUUGUGGUUUUUCUGUGUGGUCUGUAAAUGCCUUUGAUUUCGACCUGAUGAGACGACAGAGUGCUUCGAGUAAAGCUAAGUCUGCCCCAGUGAAUUAAACUGUCUUUGAACCUCUGAUUCCUGAUGAGUUGAUGGCUGGUGCCAACUGUCAGUCUGUGUGACCCCAGCCCCCACUGGGCUCCUCCGUCCCCGUGGUUAGGACAAACAGAAGGUUCCAGUUAUGUUUUUUUUCACCCCAACGCGUGUAAAGCAGGAUAUGUGUUGAAAGGAACUGGGAUUUGGGAAAAGGAAGUCUGCAUUAAAACCUGUAUUCUGCCAUUAGCCAGAGGAUUUUUGCCUGAGUGUUUUCAGCUGGUAGAACAGUCACCAUAGUCCUGUGUGGACUGAAGAACUUCAUCUGUGUACUUACCUGCCUAGCAACCUGUGAGGUCGCCAGGCUUUCACCCCUAGGGGCAGGCCAUUGCCUUGUUGCAUGAACUGAAUACAGGGGAAGGAAGGGGUAUCUGCUGGUGUGCACUGGGACAGCUUAUAUUUGGAAUAUCCUUGAAGGUCAAUGUUGUCAAAUGUUUGCUCCUCAAAGUGGGGCUACUGGGAGGUGGCGGGACCUUUAAGAGGUGGGGCCUAGGGGAGACUGUGCAGGCCACUGGUGCAUGGCCUUAAAGGGACAUAAGCCAGAUCUGACUUUUUACAUUCUUUCUGACCAUUGGGGUGAGCAGUUCACUUUGCACAUGCCCUACUAUGCAGACUGGUGAUCGAGGGGCGAACGAGAAGGCUCCGUGGUUAAGAGUAGUUACUACUCUUACAGAGUGAACCUGACUUCAGUUCCCAGAACCCACACUAGAUAGCUUAUAACUGCCGGUAACUCCAUGGAACCCAACUUUUCCUGGUCUCCCAGAGCACCUGUAUAUGUUUCCUCUCCCUCCCUUCCCACACCCUAAAAUGAGUCUUUUUUUUUUUUUAAAUAAAGGAGUCCAAAUAAACUGUUUCUCUAGCAAGUUUGUCUUCCCAGGUAUUGCUGUGGUGAGCAGAAGCUGUCACAUGCCAAUGUCAAUUGCUGCUGGAUGCUACUUAUUAAACGUUGCUUCAUUACAGGGAAGACUUAUGCCACCUCAGCUAACCCAGAGAUGUUAGAAUAAUGAUUAUGAAUUAGAAGGUCAACGGGAGAGGGUAGGGUAGGGCGAGAUUCCAAGUUUGCGAUGAGCUCCUCGGAGGGGCUGCCCACCAUGGGUUGCUCUUUGUACUGUGUUAAUUCUACAUAAGGAACAAGUGCACCAGCAAGUGAGACUGGGUAGGGUAGUAAGGCAGUCACCUUAGCCAGCGACCUCCCAAUAGGAGGGUGACUCAUUGUCUACAUCAUCUUCAUAUAAGAACUAGGAUAAGAGCAAGGUCUCUCUUUCUCCAGGAAGCCCCGAGGGUAGCCUAGCCACGCUCUCUUUUGUUUUCCAGGCUUGGUGAAUACAACAAUGGGUCUGGUGGCUUCUUACUCCGAGUGACUAGCCCAUGAUAUGACGUUUGCUUGAUAAGGCAUGUGGAACAUCUAUCUGCCCGAUGCUUACUAGGCUCUAAACGCUGUGUUAGAAGGAGUUCUCUAAGCCUCCCAGUGAUUUUAGACACUAAUUGCACUGGUUCUGGGGGUGUUUAAAGCCUUCACAUACCGAUUCUCUGAUUCAGUUUUCCUUGCUGUCACAAAAAUCUUAGACUAAAACGAUUUAGGGAAGGCUUGGUUUUGUUUCCAGGUUUUAGGAGUUUUAGCUGGUCAUGGUGGGGACCCAGAGCGAGAUGGAAUGUCUAUAUGAGCAGGCUUCCGACUGAAUUCUGUCUGGGUCCCAUGUGGUGCUGCUCAUUUAAGGCAAGUCUUCUCCCUUUAGUUAGUAUCUCCUGGAAAACACUGUCAUAGACACUCCUAGAAGUGGGCUUCACUGGUCUCUCCAUCCAUUCAAGUCAGCAACCGACAUUAACCAUUCUACCAGCCAUAUUCCCUCCCCCAUACCUUUGCUUAGAGACACAGUUUUCGACGGAGGGUAACUUCUAGCCCAAGGCCAGUUUCUAACGUCUGGAGAUUGUUGUUGCUUUGUUCUUUUUGUUUUGUUUUCUGUCUCAACCUUGAGUGGUAUUUAAAGGUCUAAGACAGGGGAGGAUGCUGGACCCCUUCAGAGCGCAGGGCAGCCCACCCCCCCACAGAUGAAAAUGCUCAGGCAGCCCAGUGUUAACGAGGGUGGGCACAAGAGCAUCAUUAGAGCUUGAGUAGUUGGUUCAUCCUGCAGAAAAUGCUUUCUGAGGGGCUGGAGAGAUGGCUCAGAGGUUAAGAGCACUGACUGCUCUUCCAGAGGUCCUGAGUUCAAUUCCCAGCAACCACAUGGUGGCUCACAACCAUGUGUAAUGGGAUCCGAUGCCCUCUUCUGGUGUGUCUGAAGACAGCUGCAGUGUACUCAAACAUAAUAAAUAAAUAAUUUUUAAAAAAGGAAGAAAAUGCUUUCCGUUUCUGCCUUACAGUCUUCUGUAGGUUCUCUGAGCUGACCUGGGAUGGAGUCUUUGUUGUCAUUUUCCUAAUUUGUAUUCUUUUUAGUCUAAAUUGAAGGCCAUCGAAGGGCUUCCCUGUCCCCUCCUGCUGCUUCCCUUUCACAGGUAUUGUGAAUAUGGCACUCUGCCUCCUCCCUCUCAUGCAGCAUGUGUCACUGGAAGGGAGGAGAGGACUCCUUUGGUUGUGUGCUGGAGUUAUUUUACCGUUAACCUUUUCUGACUGAGACCGGGCUCUUUAGAGCCAUUCUCGUUACAAAAUCCAGACCAGUUACUUUAUUUCAUCGGACACAGGAGAAAUAACUUUUUUUUUAAAAAGUACUUUAAGAAAUUAGUUUGGCAGAAUAAUCCUCCCCCCUCCCGCCCCUAAGGGGGAGGGACGGAGAGAAGGAUUGACAAGGUAUGGCUUCUUUCUUUAAAUGGUUUAAUUUGGAAUAGAUAUCCAUCAACAGUACAGAGGAUUCAGAACACCUUCCCUGGCAUCCCUGGAAUCAGGACUCACCACAGAUUCUGAAGAAGGAGCAUUCUGUCAUUCACUGCGCCCAGGUACACAAUGGAUCAGACCUCGGAGGAGGCCCAGCAUGCUGCCUCCUGAAAUGGUUUCUUUGCUGCAGGCCUGUUGGGGAGAUGCUUAUCAGAAAGGGGUGGACAGGUCUGCAAUGGACAGGCCCCAUUCUGUCUCCAGUGGUUUAUUGCUAGUGAUAGGUGCCAUCAGUGUCUUGCCUGAGAAAUGGCCGUGCUGCAGGCAUUUCUGUCGGAACAUCUUAUUGAUCUGCUCGCCGCCUCCCUUCCAGAAGACCGGAGUAGUCAGAAGGCAGAAGCUACUGGCUGGAGCUGCUAUGGCACUGUGAGCUGCAGCUGUUCUCUGGGGUGAGCACAACAGUUACCAUCACUAGAGCUGCUCCAUCCGGGGUCACAGAGGCUCGCUCCAGGAAACCAAGUAGCCUGGAUUGCACGAGGACCCACCAGCAGGAUGAGUGCUGCUUCUGAAAUUGUUUCCCCGUUGAGGUUGUAUGCCUGAGAUUCCUGCCUCUGACCCACCCCGGACCUCGAUAAAAUAGGAUUGGAAGCAGUUAAUCUGGGAAUCUCAUUCAUAAAUAAUCCUUCUUGGCUCCCAGCACUGGUAUAUAAGGAGAGAUUUAUAAGUACAAACCUGCAGGCCAAACUGCAGGAAGCAGUGUGGAUCCAGCCUCUGGCUUUGGACAUGAGACGAAAUGGUUAUAAUCAAUAUAUUGCCACAAGCAUCAGGGGACAUUUUUAUGGCGUUUGCAUAGGACUUUAUAACGUACAGUAGAUGGGAUCUGCCACCAGCCCAACCCAGGCAUAAAAUGCAUCUUAUAAAUAAAAACACAGAAGCAUUUUGGCAAAAUGUAUGACGGUUACAGCUAUAGAGAAAGUUUGUAGAGAGUAGGCUAGGCUGGAAUUGGAGUCUGAAAGUGCAAGGGUGUACCAGCGGUGGGGACGGUGGCAUUGCUGACUUAUAGCUGGGUGACUAAGGAUUUGGCAAGAGUCUGGCCACUGACCAUGUCCCCCUUACCUGUAAGCGGCAUGACCUUGGGUUGCUCUCGUUCCCAGUUCAUUGAUGAAAAUCGUACUACCUGCCUUUAUAUGGUUAUUUUUUUCCUCUUUCAGGGUGGAGGGGGUUCACAUCUGGCGUUUCGUGCAUGCCAAGUUACAUUCCGCCACUGAGUGACAACCUUAGCCCACACAUCAGCUUCCUUUUCAAUGAAGUAAUGUGUAGAAAUGUUUAGUGCAUUCCUGCAGUGUAUAACUGCUUAAUAACGGUUAAGAAGGAGAAGACGAUGCUGAGGGCGGCGCUGAGGUCAGCGACAAUCAUGAUGAUGUUGCAACAACGGUGAUGAUGGCAGUGGUCAGCUGGUAUCUGAAACGUACCGUAUCACAAAGUAUGGCGGGACUCAUGCUCAUUGCCCUCUUACCCCUGUCAGAUCUGGCUCCCCUGAGCGCAGAUGGAAACUGUCUCUGAGGCCACGUCAACCAUGAAGAAACAGUCCCUGGAAUAUAGUAAAUCCUCGGUAAAUACUAAGAGAAAACAGAAACGGAGCGAUCCUCCAUCAGAGGGGGCCAGCAUGAACUGGAACGUGAAGUGAAGUGCGUUUUCAGAUCUCAAAGCUUUGCCCCACCCUGCACCUGGCAAAGUCUUUCCUUCAUCCCGGGGAUGCUUUCCUCAGUAAUGAAAAGACAAAGGCCAGAUUCCCUCCUGCAGUAAAAUGCUCAGAAACACAGGACCAGUGGAUAAGAUCCUUCCAUCCCUGCUUUGCUGUAAGUCUGUUGACUUGUUUGUUGUACUGUUUAAAAUGUUUACUUCCAGCAAUGGUGAGGUUCCCUCUGAGGCUGACCUUUAUUAGCACUGCAGCCGGCUUGCUCUUUCUCCAAAGGAGCUUUGGGGAUUCUUAUUGUGAAGGUACUCCUGCCCCUCCAAGUUGUCUUUUGAGACAGUGUUUUACAAUGUAGCCUUGAUUAGCCUGUAAUCUAUUAUGUAGACUAGGUUGAUCUUAAAGGCGGUGACAUGUCAAGUCUAUGUUUCUCCAGUUCUGGAAUUAAAGACAAGCACCACCCAUCCUGGCACCAAUCCUCCCAAUCCCCCAAGCGAUCUGCUUUGUAGCCCAGGCUGGCCCCAAGCUCUCAUGCUACUGCUUUAGUCUCCCACACGUGGGGGUCACAGGCUUGAGCCCUGCCUAAUUACAGACCACAUAGAGGUCGGAUGAACAUUAUUUUGGAGUUGACGCAGAGGAGACCGGCAUGUAUUGCUUUCGCGUCCCAUCUGCCUGUAGACCAUAGACUGUGCAUAUGGUGUGUCCUUCAGGCAACUGCUGAAAGGUGCUUGGGCUGGCCCAGAGAGGAAGACAUGACAGUACAGGAGUGGCUGCUUGUCAGAGUCAAGGAGAGGGUUCCUCUUAGCCAGCCUGCAGGUGUGGGCGAUGCUCACCCCCAGGGCAGAGGGCAGAUGCCAGGCUUCAGAACUGCUUCCUCUAGGGCUCUCUGUGGUCCUCAGGAUGGCCUUUCAGGCUCAACUCAAGGCAAAGCAAAUUCUGACUUGGAGGUGGGGGGACCACACUAGCAGACUAUGUCAGGCUAUAGCUGUCCUAUAUGACUUGGCUCCAUCAGAUUCCAUAACUCAUAGUCAUCCAUCCAGACGGGAGAAAAAUCCCAGAAAGGACCAAAAUGUAGUUGAGCCUUGAAAAUUAGAAAACUACGUUUUAAAUAGUGGAGCAAUCUCUGUGGGGUGAAGAAUUCUCACGAUUUAACACGGCGAAAGUUCAGGGUUCCCUCUCUGGCUUUGACAGCCAAAGGAACUUCCUGAAAAGGAAGACACAAUCUCCCCUAUCUUCUCUAGUGGGGAUUCAGUUUUUACUUAAAGAUUUAAAGCAUCGUAACACAGUCCACAGAGGGAGGCCUGAGAACAAGUUCCUGGAGUUGCUUCUUGCACUCCAUUUUUAGAUGAGUUCUCUGGGGAUUGAACUCUGGUCAUCAGGUUUGUGCCACAGGUACUUUUACUUACUGAGCCACCUCGCCGGGCAUAUUUUAUUUUAGAUUUAUUUUUAUUAUUUUUCAGACAGAAACUCACAUAGCCAGGUGGUCUGCAACUCCCUCUAUGGCUGAGGCUGGCCUUGAAUUUCUGAUUCUCCUGAGUAGUGGGGGUGACAGACAUGUGCCACCCCGGCCAGGUUUACAGGAUUUCCACAUAGCUGAGCCCUUCCAUCUCCGACAGCUCUUGGCUACGAGCCAGGUAAAUGUCAGCAUACUCACCUGCCCAUUUCUAAGGAGAACUGGCUAGGCUCACAGACUAAAGGACUCGCCCAGGACACUAAACCAGGAAACAGAGGCUAGGGGGGGUCUUGAAUGAAGCUUCUGUGUGUGUGCUGUGGGAUCAGGGGUUUCCUCCACUCUCUUUUGCAUUCAAAUAGGAAAACCGUGAGCAGUUGGCAAGAUUGCUGUUGGGAGCUUGUAAAAGAGGUAGGGAAAAAGUCCAACUGCCUAGUCAGAGAGGCCUUUUCUUCAGCUGAUGUCUCACCAGAAAAGCUUGUUAGGAAAAACCUCCCAGCUGUGAGUCAGGGGCAGCGUGUGGGGGUGGGGCCCGGGUAGCCCGGAAGUGCACUGCUGGGAUGUUCAAUUAGGGUGAAAAGGGAAAAAGACGUAGGCCUCUGAUGCCUGGGCCUGUGAUAACUCUGGGAGGAGCAGUAUCUGCUCCUCCUGACAGAGGCUGGGCAUUUUUUCCUGGGCUUGGGUUUUCUCUGAGAAUACCAGAAGUCUCACCAUGCAUCCAUGGCGUCCUCUAGCACAGCGUCCUUCCCUUCACUCAUGGAGAAGUGGAGAUUAGUUCAGGGCCACAGACAAGAAUCCAACACACACAACUCUCUCUCUGUCUUCCCCCUCUCUGUCUGUCUGUCUGUCUGUCUGUCUGUCUGUCUGUCUGUCUGUCUGACUCUGUCUCUCUGGGUACGAGUGUGUGUGUGUGUGUGUGUGUGUGUGUGUGUGUGUGUGUGUGUGUGUGUGUGCGUGCGUGCAGACCAGAGAUUGACAGCUAGUGUUUUCCUUUCCUCAUUGGCUCUGUACCUUAGUUUCUAACACUAGAUUUCUCACUGAAUCUAGAGCUUGCCGAUUCGGCUCUGCUGUUCAGCUAGCGAUUCCCAGGGACCCUCCUGUCUCCCUCCCAGUAGGUUCUGGGAGUCCAGGGGUGGGCACAGCUACACCCAGCUUCUUUAUGUGGGUUCUGGGGAUCGAACAUGUCCUGAGGCUUGCAUCCCGAACCAUCUAACACAUACAGGGAGGAUAUUGCUGCCAUUUUAUUUCCCAAUUGAGAUGUUAGUAACUGGCUCAAGAGCACACCGCUAGUUAGUGACGGAGCUGGGUAAAAAGUCCAGUGGUUUAGUUUCUUGGUGACGUUAAGGAUGGUUAGGGCUUUAGCAAGUUGAGCAUGCAGUCUCACCUGAACACGGGCCGCUUGGCUCCAGUCAAGGGUUGUAAAAGAGGAAUGUGGGCCUCUUCUGGUCCUGCUGGAUCUUCUGAUUUUUUUUUUUUCCUUUUAAAACAGAAAUCCAGAGUUCAGAUAAAACUCCCAGCUUUUUUCUUUAUUUUAUUUUACGUGCACUCUUUUUUUUUUUUUUUUUACCUGAAUGUCUGUCAUCUGUGAGAGGGUGUCAGAUUCCUUGGAACCAGAGUUACAGAUGGUUGUGAGCUGUCGUGUGUGUGCUGGGAAUCGAACUGGGGUCUCCAGGAGGGACAAUCAGUGUCGUUUCCAGCCAUCUCUCCGGCCCCUUCAAACUCCCUGAUUGUUAUGCAGGGGUUUCUGUGGAUCUCCCAUAGGCUGCAGGUGAAGUCCAGCAGUUGGAGAUCUUACAAAUGAUGCCUCAGACAAGAUGCUGAAAGCUGAGCCCGGUGGCUAACCCAAGCUAAGCGGCAUAGCCCAAGCAGACAUGUACAGGAGGCUGCUACUUGGGGUCUGAAGAGGCUUUGCGUGGCUGGAGUCUGGCCACAGUGACACAUUUAAUGCCUACAAGAGUGAGAUGUCAGCGAUCAGAACAUUCCCAAGCUGGGGACCGAGGAAGGGCAAGUGGGCGGAAUGAUAAAUCUUGUCAAGGACUUGGCCACACCCUGUGUAUUUUCGUCAUCUGCAUUCCCUGAAGAUGAACUAGGGUUCCCUAGCAUGGGGUCCAGAAGCUUUAGUGAUACUUGUGGUGUGGACCAGAUUAUACCUAAGCAUCACUGUACCAAAGAGAGAAGAAGCUGUUACUCAACAUGGCUUCCUGGAAACUAGAAAGAUCUCCUAGCCAAAGGGGGCCUGCUCCUCCGUAUACCUCCCCUGGCAUCACAGGGCAGUUCAUUGGAUUUGUGAGGCUUCAUUCGUCCCUGGAGAGCAGGGAGAGUGACCAGUUGAUAUGGCUCUAACACACAGUCGGAAGUUCCAGUGACAGGACGCCAUCACUUACCCAGAACCCCUGAACUCAUCAGUCACCCUCAAUGGUCCCAUAGCGCAGAAGGUGACUUUAAGUCAACAUUACUUCCUUUUUUUUUUUCCGGAGCUGAGGACCGAACACAGGGCCUUGUGCUUGCUAGGCAAGUGCUCUACCACUGAGCUAAAUCCCCAACCUUUUUUUUUUUUAAAGAUUUAUUUAUUUAAUGUAUACGAGUACACUGUAGCUGUCUUCAGACACACCAGACCUCAUUACAGAUGGUUGUGAGCCACCAUGUGGUUGCUGGGAAUUGAACUCAGGACCUCUGGAAGAGCAGUUGGAGCUCUUAACCGCUGAGCCAUUUCUCCAGCCCCAAAAGGUGACUUUAAAUGUUGUUGUAAGAGGCCCAUUUGCAGAAAGAGACUUGUGCAUAAGAGACAUUCGGAAAACUGGUUAUGCAAGAGAGUGAAGUCCUUUGCAGCAAGAAUUAGCAAAAUCUUAAAUCGUGUAAGUAAUUAUGAUUGCCGAAGGGCAGCCCUGUGGCCCUGGAAACUUCCUUCCUGGUUAUUUCAUUUCUUCUUCAGUGUUUUUGUAGCGUGUUAUUGAGAACGUUCUUUGAGAUGUUCUGUUUCGCCUUUCCUACAAGCUUUCUUUCAUCCCCUCCGGAUGUCCCUUUCUCAGUUACCUGUUUACUUUUGAGAUGGAGUCUCUAGUAUUCCAGGCUACCCUUGAACUCUAGGUAGUCAAAGAGGAUGGCUGGCCUGGUUGCUGCUGCCUGUCUAGGGACCAUAUCCCCAGCCCGACAGGGUCCCCCCCCCCCCCGCAGAAUUAUAAUUUUCCGUUUUCAGGAAGUGGAUCCUUCUAUAAAUUGAUUAGAUUCAAAACAGAGGUGGUUAAUGAAAAAUGGGGGACGGGCAUGGCAUAUCUGUCACUGUUCCCCCCCUCCCCCGUUCCUGGGUUCUAGGCUGAACACAGGUGUCCAGUCCUGGUCCCCAACUCAGGUUGACUUUAACAGUUGGAAUUUCCAACCCAUAUUGACAUUUACCUCGAAGCAGAGGGGCAAAGGAGAAAGUAACUUUCUCAAGGACACAAUUGCUCUUCUGCCGGGGGGACAGCUUCCCCCCUCCCCCCCACAAGAGGAGAAGCCAGGGGUCUGGGGAAAAGUGGCCUCUUUUAUAGCCUUCCUAUUUAUUGUGAGAAGAGACACGGUUGUCUCCUGGACAGCUGGCCAACGACUUUCUUUGGGGGGGGGCAGUGGGAAUGGGCGGGUGCUCCCACCAGGCUGCCUCAAGGUGCUUCCUUUCACACUAGCAUCUCUGGGACAUUUGCUUCUCUCCAAACCAGCCGAUUCACUGCAAGUGGCCUCGAUUUGAUGUGCCUAACUUUGGGAAUCAUCGUGUAGACUUUGACUCUGAUCUCAGCCCUGACGCUGGAUGGCUGUGUGAUUCUAGGUGAGCUGGUGUGUCUCUGAGCCUCGUCGAUUUCGGUCAAAGAGAAGUCUUGAUUAACAUGGGCAGAAAGGAUGCCAACGGUGACUUUCAUCACUCCUGUUUGAUUCCUGUCUUCUUCACCCUUCAGAGCCAGCAAGAGUUUGCUGGCUUGGAUGUUCCUGGGUGGCGGAGUCCAUAGUCUGAGGGCAAGGAGGUCUUGGAAGCAGUUUUCCUGGGUAGAACCUAGUUUUCAGCUGAGACUCCCACCCUCAACACACAUCAAGCUGAAGAUGAGCCCUCUGCCUUUUUUCUAAUACGGAGUUGGAUGUCCCCAGACCAGUGCCGGGAAGGAGGAAGCUCCGGAUACUUGUGAAGGUGUGGGCUGUCCUUUUGCACACCCAUAGUCUCCUUUGACUUUGAAGUUCGGACUGUCACCAUUCCACUUUGGCUUCUGGAUCAAGAAAAUGGUCAAUGUGCUGCCAUGGUAAAGCUCCAGGGGACUUGGAAUCACUCCAGGAUAAUGACAUAUGCCACCCAUUGACAGCUCUGACACGGGCUUUGUUCAGUCACUUCAGACAGCUACUGUUUAAUGUCUUAUUCAGUUCUUCAACAACGCUGUGGACGAAGAAACGGUCCACAGCUGAUAGGCGGAGACACUGAGGUGCGGAGAAGCUAAGGGAUUUAUCCAGGACCUCUCAACCAGCCAUGCCGAACCUGCAGUGUGCACCUUGUUCCUUGGGACAUCAUGCUGCUGCUACAUUACUUGAAGUCGGGUCUUGAGGGAUAUGCACAGUCUGAAGUUCUCUCUUUGUGUACUAAUGAAAACACAGUGGGUACUCCAUUUCCUAGCAGGGCUAGCUCUGGGCUGCUUCAUACUUAAAAUCAUGAAAACUUGCUGAAAUUUAAAAAUCUAGAUCUUGGGCUGGGGAGAGAGCUCAUUGGUUAAAAUCACCACUGCUCAUUCAGAGGAUCCAAGUUUAAUUCCCAGUACCCACGUGGUAGCUCACAACUGUCAGUGACUCUAGUUUUAGGGGGACAACUCCUAAAACUAGGACAAAUAUGUUCUCACCCAGACAAAUAUGCAGUUAAAACACCAAUGCACACAAAAUAAACAAAAAUAAAUAAAUACAUACAUACAUACAAUCUAGAUUUUAGCUGCAUUAUAUAUGUUCCACAAGCUCCAAAACCCUGCAGAACUACAUCCUUUAGGAUGUUUGGGCACUAAAGGGACAGAACAUUAGAACUUUCUGUAGAAACUACCAGAACAAAGCACAGUGGCAGAUGAAGAACCAGAGAUGCAAGGAACAUAAAAAGCACACAAUGGGAGGCUCAUUGCUCUGCUAUCACAUCUAAGCCCCUCCCUGGCCUCCUGUUCCUGCUUUCGGAAUAACUUUCUUGUGGAUCCCACGUUGCCCGUGGAAGGUACCUCACCUCUGCUUUCCUAUGUGCUCGGUGCCCUGAGGGUUGGGGGAUGUGACAUGGCUAUCACUAUCUACACAGUCAGUCACUUGGCACUGUAGGCUGUAGGGAUCUUUAAACAGAGACAUGCUUCAGGGUGUAGAUUAUGAACUGCAUAUGGCAGAUGCGGACACUUGGGCAGCUUAUGAGGAUCUGGACCCUGGGUAGGAUCACCUCUAAAGGGAUGCUUACCCUCAGAGAGCCUGGAAAUGUCUGUUUAAAGGACCUGGUCAAAUACUCUAGAACCACAGCUAGGUCACUACCUUGCUGUAAAUGACUUGUGUGUCAUUGUACUGGACAAAUGCUCCCAGUCUUAUUAGGGUUUUACUGAUGUGAACAGAUACCAUGACCAAGGCAACUCGUAUAAGGACAGCAUUUAAUUGGGGCUGGCUUACAGGUUCAGAAGUUCAGUCCCUUAUCAUCAAGGUGGGAGCAUGGCAGCAACCAGGCAGGCAUGGUGCAGGCAGAGCUGAGAGUUCUACAUCUCCAUCUGAAGGCUGCUAGCAGAAUGCUGACUUCCAGGAAGCUAGGACUAGGGUAUUAAAGCCCACACCCACAGUGACACACCUACUCCAACAGGGCCACACCUCCAGGUAGUGCCACUCCCUGGGCCCUCCAUCACACUCCCCAAGGGCAGACUUCGUGUAUACCUCCUGAUUAUUGCUGAAUCCUGGAGGCCACCUCCUAUUGAUAACAAAUUCUAGAAACAUCAAAUAAAUAUAAUAAAUAUUGGUUAAAACAA
Rattus norvegicus (Norway rat) is the source of this 20058-nucleotide non-coding RNA. NCBI's taxonomy places the organism in Eukaryota, Metazoa, Chordata, Mammalia, Rodentia, Muridae. The record is from RefSeq and is a predicted model, not a curated record.